UGCAGUCGAACGAGAAAGUACCCUUCGGGGUGCGAGUACAGUGGCGAACGGGUGCGUAACACGUGGGUAAUCUGCCUCGAAGUCUGGGAUAACCUUCCUAACGGGGGGCUAAUACCGGAUGUUUUCUUUGCCUGGCAUCUGGCAAUGAACAAAGAUGGCGCGCUGAGCGCUGUUGCUUUGAGAUGAGCCCGCGGCCUAUUAGCUAGUUGGUGGGGUAACGGCCUACCAAGGCGGCGAUGGGUAGCCGGCCUGAGAGGGUGACCGGCCACAUUGGGACUGAGAUACGGCCCAGACUCCUACGGGAGGCAGCAGUAGGGAAUUUUGCGCAAUGGGCGAAAGCCUGACGCAGCAACGCCGCGUGAGUGAUUGAAGGCCUUCGGGUCGUAAAGCUCUGUCAGGUGGGAAGAAACCAGGUUGGCUGAUAAGGCCUUCCUGUUGACGGUACCACCAGAGGAAGCUCCGGCUAACUCCGUGCCAGCAGCCGCGGUAAUACGGAGGGAGCGAGCGUUGUUCGGAUUUACUGGGCGUAAAGAGCGCGUAGGCGGCCAGGCAAGUCAGAUGUGAAAACCACCGGCUCAACCGGUUGGACUGCAUUUGAAACUGCCUGGCUUGAGUUCAGGAGAGGAGAGCGGAAUUCCCAGUGUAGCGGUGGAAUGCGUAGAUAUUGGGAAGAACACCGGUGGCGAAGGCGGCUCUCUGGACUGACACUGACGCUGAGGCGCGAANGCUAGGGGAGCAAACAGGAUUAGAUACCCUGGUAGUCCUAGCCGUAAACGAUGGGUACUAGGUGUUGGGGG
Molecule: ribosomal RNA, 797 nt
Filed under: uncultured low G+C Gram-positive bacterium
Lineage: Bacteria; Bacillati; Bacillota
Description: bacterial SSU rRNA
Rfam family: Bacterial small subunit ribosomal RNA
Source: RNAcentral